AUUCGCUAAAGAACCAUAGUGUGGGAC
Molecule: small RNA, 27 nt
Filed under: Bombyx mori (domestic silkworm)
Lineage: Eukaryota; Metazoa; Arthropoda; Insecta; Lepidoptera; Bombycidae
Description: ovarian small RNA-12694
Source: RNAcentral